Molecule: ribosomal RNA, 253 nt
Filed under: uncultured bacterium
Lineage: Bacteria
Description: partial 16S ribosomal RNA
Rfam family: Bacterial small subunit ribosomal RNA
Source: RNAcentral
UACGAAGGGGGCUAGCGUUGUUCGGAAUUACUGGGCGUAAAGGGCGCGUAGGCGGCGUGUCAAGUCAGGCGUGAAAGCCCCGGGCUCAACCUGGGAACCGCGCUUGAGACUGGCAUGCUCGAGUUCGGGAGAGGAUGGUGGAAUUCCCAGUGUAGAGGUGAAAUUCGUAGAUAUUGGGAAGAACACCGAUGGCGAAGGCAGCCAUCUGGACCGACACUGACGCUGAGGCGCGAAAGCAUGGGGAGCGAACAGG